UUAAUUUUAUGGGCCAGGACAUGGUCUGUCUUGUAUACUCUGUGGACACUUGGAAAGACCAGUAUCUUUGUUUUUACCCCAAUAUCUUUUAAAUAAAUUCCUUUUCUGUCAGCCAGUGUCUGUGUCUUGCAUCUGAACUCUAACUACUACCCCUUUGCAACUGCAUUUGUUUAUUAGCCUUUAUUGUAGCACUAACUAUCCCAUACUCCCUAAUCGUCAGUUUACACCUUAGUCUCCAUCACUACACUGUAAGCUUGAAGGCAUAGAUUUUGUCUUUUUUGUAUGCGUCCAGCCUGGUACGUGGCAAAGAAUUUAUAGUGUUUGAUUAAGGAGUAAAUGAAUAGCUUUUAUUCAUGAUCACCAUUUUUAAAAACUUUGAUCUGUGGAGAUUUAAUUCUUAUCUUUUCAGUUUUGUAUAUUUUGUCAGUUUUCAUCUUAAAAGCAGGGUGGUUUUGGUUUCAUAGCUUGUGUUCAGUAAGUAACUGACCCCAGAAACAGACUGUAAAUGUCUAUUAUAUGAUUGGAAUGACAUUUUAUUUCAGCUUAAUCAUGCCAUAGUUCAAGCAGAGACAUGUGAGAAGUUCCCUACUCAUUCCACAAGACCUAUUUUGCAACUCCUGCUAUUUCGUUUAUUUCAGGUUGACUUGUUCUCUAGUUGUAGAAGUGUUGUUUCCACAGCAAUGCAGUUUACAACGCACAUCCCUGUCAGAGUGCACAGAAACCCUGCUGUGUUGCCUGGAAGCCUAGUUUUCCAGUCAGAAAGGAAGCACAUGGUAUUCCCUCAGCCUUUCCUGCACUUAACUUUGGCUUGCGUUGUGGAUAACAAGAAAAUCUUGGUUGUUUUCUACCGUAGAUGCUGGGUUAAUAAUGUAUCUAAGAGAUUUUGAUGUAUAAUGUGCCCUGUUACUACAGUGUUCAGGCUGUGGCUGGUGACUGCUAGCAAAGUUGCUGCGUGGAAUAGAUGUAGGGAUGUUACAGGAAUGUGAGCUAAACAGUCUGCCACUCAGCAUGAAAUUCUAUUUAUUGCUAAGGCAGUUUGGGGCAACUGCCUGUUUGUUGCUUUGGAUGAUUUUCUUAUGGUUUUUACUGCCUAUGAGAACACAAUAGAACUGAGUGAACCUGGAGAAGUGGAGAAAGAAACUGUUGGCCUUUCUGAGUGGUUUCCCUGACCUUCAACUAGGAGCAUAUUUAGUGACUUCAUGUUUUUCUUCCUUUGGAACUAAAUUGACUAGAUUGUACCUGAACACAAGAAGUCUUUUUCAUAUCUUCUCUCACACUUAGUUUCUUCUUUGCCACCUUUUUCUUUUCUUUAUUUCUUUUAUUACUUCAGCUGGAAGCCUUGUUAUAUGGACAUUCUUUGGAAAUGUUCAAGAAAGAGAUGAGUUAUAAAUAGAGCAGAAUUUCGGAGAGACAAGGUUAUCAUCUUAAUUGUGAUUGGUCAAUAAAUUGAAGAGAUUUGUGUGGACUCACACCAAUAUAGUGGUAGGGGAAUGAUGGAGAGCAUUUUAAUGAUAAUUAUACUCCACACUUGAAUAUUUUCUCAGUCUUCAUGUAUUCAUCUAUUCAUCAUGUAUCAAACAGCAUUCAUUAAGUACUGCUUUUUGGUUCCCAUAGCAUUUGACUUUUAUGACAGGAGGUAGGUUCAUUAUCAUAGGGGCCUUAAGUGUUCAAUUCAAUGAGUUUUCACAAUUGUAUAAUCCAUAUAACUGAUACAGGGCACAGCCAAGCUCCCAGUUGGGGCUUAGCCCUGGAGGGUCUUGGCUUUGCUCAGGAAGUAAUUCAAGAGCUAGGUGGUGGUAGAAGAAACAGCUUUAUUGAAGCGGAAGUGUUAACAGCUCCUUGACUGCUCCUGCAGAGCAGGGUUACUGCAUAGGCAUUGUGCUGAGAGUAGCAGCUCAGGGCAGUUCUGCAGUCAUAUUUAUACCUACUUUUAAUUACAUGCAGAUUAAGGGGCAGUUUAUGCAGAAAUUUCUAGGAAAAGGGUAAUAACUUCUGGAUUGUGAGGUCAUUGCCAUGGGAAGGGGCGGUAACUCUCAGGUGUUGUCAUAGCAACAGUAAACUGACAUAGCACACUGGUGGGUGUGUCUUACAGAAAGCCGCUUCUGCCCCAUACCUGUUUUAGCUAGUCAUCAAUUUGGUUUGGUGUCCAAGCCCUGCCUCUGGAGUCCUGUCCUGCCUACUACUUCAUAGCCACUAUCCAAGAUAAGUAUUCUCAGUUCACAUGCCACUGGGUCAUCAGAAGACAAGUAUCUGGAUUUCAGAGCCAACAGUUUGCUUUUAAGCUGCAAGACCCUCCAUUGCCAUAAGAUCUGCCAGUGCCGUAAUAAGAAAACCUCAGCUGGAACUUCUGCUGCAGCCAUUGAGGUCUAUGCAUAGGCCUCCUGCUUUCGCUUCUGGUUCCAUGUAAUAUCAUUGUUUAUAAAAAGAAUUAGUGUCUGUUCUGUAUAAAACAACACUGUGGGGCAGAAGCUUUGCAGUCAUUAGUAAGAGGGGCCACCGCGAACUACAGUUUCAUUGAAAAGCCAUUAUUUUCCCUCUUAGGAAAUAGAACUUUAAGUGAGGCUUGCUUUUAUAGCAACUGAAGGAAUGGAAGAGCAAAGAGUAGUGUUCUCGAGGGUACCUUAACUUACAGCUUGUGUUGUAGGUCGAGAUUGGCUGCAUUAUUAUGUUACAUGGUUUGUUGAGCUAUGGUGAGCCUAUUUUCCAAACCAAAAAUCAGCACAGCUAUUCUGACAGUAUUUUUUAAGUCAAAUGUAAUUAUACAUUUAGAAGUAAAAUUAAAAGUUGAGACUGUCCAGGAAAACCCAGAACAUAGGGAUGCCUUGCCUGGAAGACAGGAGGUUCACUCCUCAAAGGCGAAGUAUGCUGAACUUUAAACUUGACUCCACUUGCCUUUCAGCACAGUGUUGAUAUCAGCCCUCCUAGAGCUGCAGCUGGGCCUGCCUUUCUACCCAAAGUAGGAUGCUACACCACAGGCCAUAGGCAAGACCACUGAUCUGUAUGGAGACUUGAUUUUUAGUAUGAAGGAUAUUUUUUGCCUGGCCUUGAAGCCUGUAGUGCAGACAUGGAAAAGGAAAUGACAGUACUGACCCAGGACUGUCCCAUCUGACUUAUUACCCAAUUUGUGUAGAUCAUGCAGUCUAGGAACUAGCAAGCAUUCGAUUUUGGCAAAAGCAUCUCCGAAUGAAUAACUUCAUUGAAUUCUUGAGUUUUUCUGAGUUCCUUCAUUUUGUACAAAUGACUUCCUGUAGGUAUGGGAAUUACUGGUCAAGAUAGGCUCUUUUGCUUGUUUUCCUGAGGCCACGCUUUCAGCUCAUGCCAUAGCAGAAUACUGCAGAAUAGAAGAAGGAAGAGAGCAAAAAAUAAUAAAAAAAAUUCUGAAAACAAAUACAAGGAAACCUGGGACCCAAAGAGGAAACAGACGUUGAGAAAUUCAAAAAGAAACCAGACAAGGAGAGAACAUGUUCAUGUGUUCAGAGUUGUUUUCUACAGUGUAUUUAUGGAGGGUACUAGUGCCUUUUGACAGUUCUAUUGUGUAUUGUAAGAAAACAUUUUUUAAUUCUUUGAGCUUUUUACAUGCUUAUCCCUUCCUAAGUUGAUUUGUGUGUUUUUUUGGUUUUGUUUUUCGAGACAGAGUCUUGCUGUGUUGCCCAGGCUGGAGUGCAGUGGCACGAUCUCAGCUCACAGCAACGUCCGCCUCCCAGGUUUAAGCGAUUCUCAUGCCUCAGCCUCCUGAGUAGCUGGGAUUACAGGCGUGUGGCACCACACUUGGCUAAUUAUUGUAUUUUUAGUAUACGUGGGGAUUCACUAUGUUGGCUAGGAUGGUCUUGAACUCCUGACUUCAAGUGAUCCACCUGCCUCAGCCUCCCAGAGUGCUGGGAUUACAGGUGUGAGCCACCGGGCCCGGCUUUAAGUUUAAACAAUAUCUGACUUGCCUGGGUGCAGUUACUCAUGCCUGUAAUCACAGCACUUUGGGAGACUGUGGCGGGUGGAUCGCUUGAGGCCAGGUGAUCAAGAGCAGCCUGGCUAACAUGGCAAAACCCCAUCUCUACUAAAAAAUACAAAAAUUAGCUGAGUGUGGUGGUGCAUGCCUGCAUUCCCAGCUACUGCAGAGGCUGAGGCAGGAGAAUCACUUGAACCCAGGAGGUGGAGGUUGUAGUAAGCCAAGAUCACACCACUACAAUCCAGCCUGGGCCACAGAGUAAGACCCUGCCUCAGAAAAAAAGAAAAGAAAAGAAAAUUGGUGAAUAGGUGGAAUGUUUGAAAGAAUAGCCAAAAAUGUAUCUUAACAUUGGGUGAUGUUUCUAGAGGUAGUGUGGAAGAUCAACUGCUGUUUCUUACUAUUUCUUUUUAAAAGAGAAUUCUUAUGUGAAUCUUGUUAACAUCUUACCUGUAAUAUUUUUAUGGUUUGUUUAAUGGUCAGUUGUUAAAUUUGUCUAUUGAAAAUUAAUGUUGCUUAAAUAUUACAUAUAAAUUAAGGUAGCUUGUUCUUUUAAGCACAUUAAACAUCUUAACAGAUAAAACGUAAAUACAAUUAUUAAUAAGACUUAUUCUGUGUGGUUUGGGGUAAACUAGUGGCAAAUUUCCAAUUAUCUUGAUUUUCAACAAUUUCUAGUAGAAGGGAUUUUAUUCAGCCACAGAAAGGUUAUUGUUAUAUAUGCUCUGUUUUUGUCUUUAACUUAUGCUCCCAUUGGGGGUUAUUGAGAUGUAAGAAGAGGGGUGGUAUUCCUUUCCAUGUACAAAAACCCGUUUUGGACCCUCUGGUGCUAAAUUAUUUUUACAAAAUUAGUUUUGUUUCGCUUUCUUUCGGUUAACCAUAGUUAUUUUCUUUUUGAAGCUCAGAUUGUCGUAGAUUGGCUAAUGGCAUUGUCUUUGAGCUGAUUCCUUUGUCCUUUUGUCACUAACUCUGGCAGUCUGAAAAGUAUUCUUACUUUCUGGCAGUGCUAGAAAAUACCAGAAUGGUCUUUAUUGUGUUUUUGCCCCAAGACAUGGAGUCAUCUCCCAUCUAGGUUCCUGGUUCCUUUAGUGGAAAGUAAUAUUAGAAACCAAAAUCUGGGCUGGGCGCCGUGGCUCAUGCCUGUAAUCCCAGCACUUUUUGGGAGGCCAGGAUGGGAGGAUUCCUUGAGGCCAGAAGUUCAAGACAGGCUGCCCAACAUAGUGAGACCCCCUUCUCUACCAAAAUUUUAAAAAUGAGCAUGCAUCUGUAGUCCUAGCUAUUGGGAAGGCUGAGGCAGGAGGAUCAUUUGAGCCCAGGAGUUCGAGGCUACAGUGAGCUAAGAAGGUGCCGCUGCACUGCUGUUGUCUCUCGGCAGAUCAUUUUCAGCUUUCUUUGGAGAGUAGCCAUUAGCAAUGCAAAUGAGAAGUUUGACAGCACAAUAAAUAAAACACUGAAAACUAUAGAUGUUACUUAUAAAACACUGGCACUCAGAUAAAUUGGGUUUGGUCAAGAAGACAGUGAAGCAUAUCCCUGUUGGGCCAGAGGCUGUUACUGUUUUGCUCCGAAUUCAAAACCUGAUAUGUUUCCAAAUUUGCUUAGGGUUGUUAUCCUGGAAAAGAGAAUCUGAUAGAAGGUGGGCACUGAUACUUAGUGCAAGGUGGAGGUCAUCAUGGUUAGGGCAAUUGCAUACAGGUCAUGACUGCAUUGGAGUCUCAGGAAAGAUUGGUUUAGUGAUUUGGCAAGUCCAAGGCAUGAGUUUUGGGUGGUUUUGUUGUUUCGUCUUAUUUUUCCACCCUUUAAGAGUCUUAGGGGAAAACAGCAUCAUUGAAUAGACUAGUUAAAAAUUCAGCACUUAAUCCCCUUCACAGCAUAUUAGCCUCUGCAGAACUUUGCUAUUUUGGAACCAGUGGUGUGAAUUAUUCUCUGUUAAUAAGAAUCUGGCUUUCUUUUCCUGUUGGAAAAGAGGCUUGUGUGCAUGUUACUCUGAUUCAGUAGUUCUCAAACUUUUUGUUCUCAGGACCUCUUUACGCUCUUCAAAAUUAUUGACUGGGUUAUAACUGUUGUUCUUUAUAGUAUAAGAAAUUUAAAAAAUCUAGUAUAUUUUUAAAAUUUAGAAUAGCAUUGUGAUUUUGUAAAUUUCUUUAAUGUCUGGCUUAAUCGAAGAUAGCUGGAGUGUCAGAUCUGCUUUUCCAUUCAGUCUAUUUUAAUCAGUUGUUUUGCCUGAAUUAUAUGAAGAAAAUUUAGUCUCACUCAAAUAUGUAGUUGGAAAAGGAAGGAGUAUUUUACUAGCUGUUUUGUUAAUUUUGGUUAUCCUUUUGUGAUACUACGCCAAAAUGUGAACAGUGAUGUAACAGCAUGCAUUAAUCAUUUCAGAACUACUGAUUAGUGGGUUAUACAGCUUUUCUAAUGUUGACUGAUUUCAUUAGACAUUCUCAACAAGUCACAUUCAUUAAUAGCAGUGCCAAUCAGAAAAGUCUUCACAAGGAAGCUGUCUAGUUCACGGUGGUAGGCAACAAGUUUUCCAAAAUUCUAAAGCUCAGAAUUUAUCACUGCCAGCAGAUACUGUCAUGUCUUGGACAGACAGACAUUGUUCAGUUUCGAGAAAAGAGAAAAUAUCUGUCGAAUACUUAAGUAUGAAUAACCAUAGUCUAUCUGCCAGUCAUUUUUUCGGGUAAAAAUGGUGUUCAUGGGGGAAAAGUAGAUAAUUCAGCUUGUAAUUUGGUUGUACAAAUGCUCUUCCUGAAGACUCCCACUCUUGGCAGAAGUGCUUUGUGAUCACUUUCAUUUUCAUAAAAAAUAUUUAAAAGAUACCUAGUACAGAAUCAAGAUUUAAUAAAUUACUUCAUUUUAUGUAAAAUAUUUAUUUUACUUAAUAACUUGCUGCUUCAUUCUUUUUUUUUU
Long non-coding RNA from Symphalangus syndactylus (siamang), 6838 nucleotides. RefSeq lists it as uncharacterized. NCBI's taxonomy places the organism in Eukaryota, Metazoa, Chordata, Mammalia, Primates, Hylobatidae. The record is from RefSeq and is a predicted model, not a curated record.